GAUAAACGCUGGCGGCGUGCAUGAGACAUGCAAGUCGAACGAAGGAUCGGGCUUGCUCGAUCCUUAGUGGCGGACGGCUGAGUAACGCGUAGGUGACCUACCCCGAAGUGGGGAAUAACUGCCCGAAAGGGUGGCUAAUACCGCAUGUGGUCGCACGUUCAUUCGUGCGAGUAAAGCCGCAAGGCGCUUCGGGAGGGGCCUGCGUCCGAUUAGCUCGUUGGUGGGGUAAUGGCUUACCAAGGCGACGAUCGGUAGGUGGUCUGAGAGGACGAUCACCCAGACUGGGACUGAGACACGGCCUAGACUCCUACGGGAGGCAGCAGUCGGGAAUUUUGCUCAAUGGGGGAAACCCUGAAGCAGCAACGCCGCGUGAGGGAUGAAGGCCUUCGGGUUGUAAACCUCUUUUGUCAGGGACGAUGAUGACGGUACCUGGCGAAUAAGCCACGGCUAACUACGUG
RNAcentral lists this ribosomal RNA (458 nucleotides) under uncultured bacterium. RNAcentral's name for it is "partial 16S ribosomal RNA". It matches the Rfam family "Bacterial small subunit ribosomal RNA", at positions 28 to 507 of the family's 1533-position model. The record is from RNAcentral.